GAACGCUGGCGGCGUGCUUAACACAUGCAAGUCGAACGGUGAACUUUGGAGCUUGCUUCAAGGGGAUCAGUGGCGAACGGGUGAGUAACACGUGAGUAACCUGCCCCGGACUCUGGAAUAAGCGCUGGAAACGGCGUCUAAUACCGGAUACGAGACGCAACCGCAUGGUUAGUGUCUGGAAAGUUUUUCGGUCUGGGAUGGACUCGCGGCCUAUCAGCUUGUUGGUGAGGUAAUGGCUCACCAAGGCGACGACGGGUAGCCGGCCUGAGAGGGCGACCGGCCACACUGGGACUGAGACACGGCCCAGACUCCUACGGGAGGCAGCAGUGGGGAAUAUUGCACAAUGGGCGAAAGCCUGAUGCAGCGACGCCGCGUGAGGGAUGACGGCCUUCGGGUUGUAAACCUCUUUCAGCAGGGAAGAAGCGAAAGUGACGGUACCUGCAGAAGAAGCACCGGCUAACUACGUGCCAGCAGCCGCGGUAAUACGUAGGGUGCGAGCGUUGUCCGGAAUUAUUGGGCGUAAAGAGCUUGUAGGCGGUUUGUCGCGUCUGCUGUGAAAAUCCGGGGCUCAACCCCGGACUUGCAGUGGGUACGGGCAGACUAGAGUGUGGUAGGGGAGACUGGAAUUCCUGGUGUAGCGGUGAAAUGCGCAGAUAUCAGGAGGAACACCGAUGGCGAAGGCAGGUCUCUGGGCCACUACUGACGCUGAGAAGCGAAAGCAUGGGGAGCGAACAGGAUUAGAUACCCUGGUAGUCCAUGCCGUAAA
Molecule: ribosomal RNA, 766 nt
Filed under: Intrasporangiaceae bacterium
Lineage: Bacteria; Bacillati; Actinomycetota; Actinomycetes; Micrococcales; Intrasporangiaceae
Description: bacterial SSU rRNA
Rfam family: Bacterial small subunit ribosomal RNA
Source: RNAcentral